UUCAAACAAAAAAACAAAUAUUCAAUUCUUUCCUUCGGGACGAAGAGAACUUUCUAACAAACACAAACUAGGAAGGUCCGUGGAUCUCCCCGAACGACUUCAUCAACGGGUCGAUCAUGUGGUUCGCAAUUCUCGGUGGACUGAUCGUCUAUGGCCUGUUCAAGCUUUUCUUCGCCGGCGACGACGAUGUUAUGGAGGUUGAGACCUCCGAUUUUAAUGCUAUUUUCUCCGUCGCGAGUAGGUUCGAAAAACUUUAUGGUGGAAAGGCUUACGUUGGGCUUCGGAUUCCUGAUGCUGACACCGGUUCUCGGCAGAAUAUUGAUCUCGUAGUGGUCACCAAAGAGGAGUUAUUGUUGAUAUCUGUUAAGAACUUAUCUGGAUUUGUCUCUAUCAAUUCGG
This 399-nucleotide unclassified non-coding RNA is filed under the name Hevea brasiliensis (rubber tree). The record is from RNAcentral. Lineage: Eukaryota; Viridiplantae; Streptophyta; Magnoliopsida; Malpighiales; Euphorbiaceae.